RNAcentral lists this transfer RNA (76 nucleotides) under Olsenella profusa. Its description in RNAcentral is "tRNA-Ala(tgc)". It matches the Rfam family "tRNA". From Rfam's summary of the family: Transfer RNA (tRNA) molecules are approximately 80 nucleotides in length. Their secondary structure includes four short double-helical elements and three loops (D, anti-codon, and T loops). The record is from RNAcentral. RNAcentral also lists the same sequence under 3 other names. Lineage: Bacteria; Bacillati; Actinomycetota; Coriobacteriia; Coriobacteriales; Atopobiaceae.
GGGGACGUAGCUCAGCUGGGAGAGCGCGGGCUUUGCAAGCCUGAGGUCGAGGGUUCGAUCCCCUUCGUCUCCACCA